AAAAGCUUAAAGAAGCGCUUGAUGUGAUCUGCAAAUCAUAUGUGGAAAGAAGUUUACAUUUAGAGGAAGUGUUGAAAGUUAAUGCAACUUCUAAAUCCAAACUUAUCCUAUAAAAGAUAUUUUCUAGGGAAGAUUCUAGUAUAUAAAAUAAAGAAAUAGGAUAUUAUCUAGAAGACUAGAUAUUCUACAUGAACAUUCUAGCUAUUAGAUAUUUGUAAAAUUAAUGGCAAGGAGACAUGUGUUAACAAUCCAA
RNAcentral lists this long non-coding RNA (253 nucleotides) under Gossypium barbadense (sea-island cotton). RNAcentral describes it as "long non-coding RNA (GBAR_LNC016655)". Lineage: Eukaryota; Viridiplantae; Streptophyta; Magnoliopsida; Malvales; Malvaceae. The record is from RNAcentral.